GAUGAACGCUGGCGGCGUGCCUAAUACAUGCAAGUCGAACGAACAGACGAGGAGCUUGCUUCCUUGCCGUUAGCGGCGGACAGGUGAGUAGCACGUGGAUAACCUACCUAUAAGACUGGGAUACCUUCGGGAGACCGGACCUAUUACCACAGAAUCUAUUGAACCACAUGGUUCAAUACUGAAAGACGGUUUUGCUGACACUUAUAAUUGGACCCGCGACGCAUUAGCUAGUUGGUAAGGUAAUGGCUUACCAAGGCAACGAUGCGUAGCCGACCUGAGAGGGUGAUCGGCCACACUGGAACUGAGACACGGUCCAGACUCCUACGGGAGGCAGCAGUAGGGAAUCUUCCGCAAUGGGCGAAAGCUUGACGGAGCAACGCCGCGUGAGUGAUGAAGGUCUUCGGAUCGUAAAACCCUGUUAUUAGGGAAGAACAAAUGUGUGAGUAACUAUGCACGUUUUGACGGUACCUAAUCAGAAAGCCACGGCUAACUACGUG
This 497-nucleotide ribosomal RNA is filed under the name uncultured bacterium. RNAcentral describes it as "partial 16S ribosomal RNA". It matches the Rfam family "Bacterial small subunit ribosomal RNA", at positions 28 to 507 of the family's 1533-position model. The record is from RNAcentral.